CCCGCAACGAGCGCAACCCUUGUCAUUAGUUGCCAUCAUUUAGUUGGGCACUCUAAUGAGACUGCCGGUGACAAACCGGAGGAAGGUGGGGAUGACGUCAAGUCCUCAUGGCCCUUAUGAGCAGGGCUUCACACGUCAUACAAUGGUCGGUACAGAGGGUUGCCAAGCCGCGAGGUGGAGCUAAUCUCAGAAAACCGAUCGUAGUCCGGAUCGCACUCUGCAACUCGAGUGCGUGAAGUCGGAAUCGCUAGUAAUC
This 256-nucleotide ribosomal RNA is filed under the name Chromobacterium sp. July_NA2D3. Its description in RNAcentral is "partial 16S ribosomal RNA". It matches the Rfam family "Bacterial small subunit ribosomal RNA", at positions 1086 to 1343 of the family's 1533-position model. Lineage: Bacteria; Pseudomonadati; Pseudomonadota; Betaproteobacteria; Neisseriales; Chromobacteriaceae. The record is from RNAcentral.